RNAcentral lists this ribosomal RNA (657 nucleotides) under Mucor hiemalis f. corticola. Its description in RNAcentral is "partial large subunit ribosomal RNA". It matches the Rfam family "Eukaryotic large subunit ribosomal RNA", at positions 86 to 648 of the family's 3401-position model. Lineage: Eukaryota; Fungi; Mucoromycota; Mucoromycetes; Mucorales; Mucoraceae. The record is from RNAcentral.
ACGGCGAGUGAAGAGGAAAGAGCUCAAAGUUGGAACCUAUUUGGCUUAGCUAAAUCGGAUUGUAAACUGUAGAAGUGUUUUCCAGACACGCCUGGUAAAAAAGUCCUUUGGAACAGGGCAUCAUAGAGGGUGAGAAUCCCGUCAUUGGCCAGAGCUGUUGUCUUUUGUGAUACAUUUUCAAAGAGUCAGGUUGUUUGGGAAUGCAGCCUAAAUUGGGUGGUAAAUCUCACCUAAAGCUAAAUAUUUGCGAGAGACCGAUAGCGAACAAGUACCGUGAGGGAAAGAUGAAAAGAACUUUGAAAAGAGAGUUAAACAGUAUGUGAAAUUGUUAAAAGGGAACCGUUUGGAGCCAGACUGGCUUAAUCGUAAUCAAUCUAGGCUUUGGCCUGGAUGCACUUGCGGUUUAUGCCGGCCAACGACAGUUUUGUUUGGGAGAAAAAAUUACAUUGAAUGUGGCCCCUCGGGGUGUUAUAGCUUUGUAAAAAAUAUCCUGGACUGGACUGAGGAACGCAGUGAAUGCCUUUAGGCAAGAUUGCUGGGUGCUUUCGCUAAUAAAUGCUAGAAUUUCUGCUUCGGGUGGUGCUAGUGUUUAAAGGAGGAACUCGCCUGGUAUAUUUUUUAUUCGCUUAGGUUGUUGGCUUAAUGACUCUAAAUGAC